GUGCAACACGAAUCAAUUGGUGUCUCGUCAGUUUUUGGCAUCCUAGUGCAAAUUAGGAUUCUUUGGUAGUUUGGUUCACACUCUCUAAUUGGUUGAUAUAAACUCUGAUAAAGAACUCACAAGAUUAAAUUCGACCUCAUUGAGAAUUUGAUUUUUUCUUUUUGAGUGAUUAACGGUGAGGUUUGAUAACUUUUAUUUUUGAGUGUUGAGUGUUUUGUAGGUUUUAAAAAAA
This 232-nucleotide long non-coding RNA is filed under the name Gossypium barbadense (sea-island cotton). Its description in RNAcentral is "long non-coding RNA (GBAR_LNC002217)". The record is from RNAcentral. Lineage: Eukaryota; Viridiplantae; Streptophyta; Magnoliopsida; Malvales; Malvaceae.